Long non-coding RNA from Pteropus alecto (black flying fox), 2371 nucleotides. RefSeq lists it as uncharacterized. The transcript has 2 exons. Lineage: Eukaryota; Metazoa; Chordata; Mammalia; Chiroptera; Pteropodidae. The record is from RefSeq and is a predicted model, not a curated record.
UCCGAGUAGGACCCGGCCUGAGACGAGGGCGCGCCCCCGACGGGCUUGGGCGCGUGCGCGCGCGGUCCCGGCACUCCGUGACCUGGUGCGUUCUCUUUCCUGGCCAGGCCUGCCACCUACGGCGCACUACCUGAGUUUUUCUCUGCAAUUACUUGAGUAGGCUGCAUUUUCUCCCCGCCCUUCUCUGUAAGGUGAGGACGUGGGGUAAAUAAUUUUUCUUAAAGGUAAGGGAGAGAACAGCAGUGAGCAGGAAAAACCGGGUCAUCGCCAUCGUCAUCACCAACCAGAGCUCCCGGCUGCUGGGCACUUUUACACGGUACCUUGGUCUGAAGUCGUCCUGCUUUCCUUACGCUUUUUAGAUUCUCAGUUUAGUUCUCUUUAAGUUAUCUCUGCUAGUCAGUCCUUUGGUCGGGCGACUCCAACGAAAAAAAAAAUGCCUGGUGAUUCCCUGGCUCAAUUGAAAAGAGAGGAAGACAACAUUAAGAAAAAUUAACUAACCUCAAGACCUGUGGUGAAUGUGUGUACAGUUCUGGACUAGAAGCUGGGCAUGCAAAGAUGAUAUGAAUUAAUGUGUGUGGCUCCUUUUUUCUCUCCUAGCCCCUGAUUCUCAUAAGGAAUGUGUCUUGAGGCCUAGUAGAAUUGCAUUUUCAGAGGCAGCCGUAGUGAUCAUUAUACUCUUUACUGGCCAAGCCACAUCUGGAGUUACGUGUUCAAUUCUAGAUUGAGCAAUUUAAGAAGACCUCAAAGAAGUUGAAAUUAUUUCAGAGAAGAGCAAAAUGGUGAAGAGAACUCAAAAACAACAAAUGAAGUAGUGGUUGAACUUUGGAGGAUUCUUAUAGAAAAAAACUACUGGGGCUAUCUCCAAAUCGGUACAGACUUGUUAUAUGGCAUAGAUUUGUUUUAUGUGGUCUCAAGAGAUGCAGACUUGAGAGAAACAGAUUUCAGAUCCUGAAAGGAAGAUCCCCUUCUAGGACUAAACAGAGAAAUUGCAUUAGGGUGCAUAGAUACCCCGACUACUGGAUUUGAUUUUAAGUAGAUUUUAAAGGCUUACUUAAACUGUACUAAGUGCAGGGUAGCCAUGCAUCGAGAGAAGAAUUAGUUGAUGGUUUUGUUAAAGUUACUUCCAGUUUUGAUAUUCAAUCAGUCCAUGGUCCCAGCCUUAAAAGAAUCUACAGUUAGCUUAUGAGGUAAGACAAAUGCAUCAAAAGGUAAAUAAUGCAAAGAAGCCAUAUGGUAAAGAGAGUUACUAACAAUAAGUGCUAGGAAUUCACACGACAGAUUGUUAUUACAGUUCCAAAGUCUUAAGGAAGAAGGAGGAAAUGAAAAUAGACUAUCUAGAACUGCCCUGUCCAGUAGGGUAGCCACUAGCCAAAUGUGGCUAUUCUCUCUUGAAAUAGAGCUGGUCUGAAUUGAGAAAUGCAGUAAGUGUGAAAUACCAGAUUUCAAAAACUUAGUACCAAGAAAAAGUAAAAUAUCUUAAUUCUUAUAUGGACUACAUAUUGAAAUAAGAUUUGGUAUAUAUUGGAUCAAUAUAUUAAAAUUAAUUUUACUGAUUUAUUUUUCCUCUUUUAAUGUGGCUACUGGAAAAUUUUAAAACAGAUGGCUUGCAUCUUAUUUUUAUUAGACAGUCCUGGCUUAGAAGGACAUAUAGUUCAUUGAACUCUAAAAACUGGCUUUGUCCUCUUUGUAGUCCCUGGGGGGUUGUCCAAAAUGUUAAUGGAAAGGCAAUCUGAUGACAAGAUGCUAAUGAAGGAAGACUGUCCAGAUCCAGAAUGUAUGUCAUGAGCAAAGACAAGGAAACAAGACUGCAGGUACAUUCUAUUAAAGUUGCAACAUUGGGUUUUAAAAUUUCAUCUUUGCUGGGCCUCAGUGCAGUUUCUUAUCUGGAGCUGACACUUAACGACUCGGGAAUGCGGAUUACUAAAAGACUCAAUUCUAAGAUAAACUUCCCUAACACUUUUAAUAAAUGAUGUUGGGAAGGAAAAAAAGCUAGAUGACUGCCAUGGCAGACACUAUCGGUUGCCUCUCCAAUCACAUUUUUCUCCUCGUAAUGAAAUUAAUAAUUUAGGGUACCAAUCGACUAAAGAAAUGUGAGCUCCUCCCAUUACUCUGGAAGUAAUUCUAUUUCCCUUAGACUGAAAAUGUUGUAGAGGUGAUCAUGUAACCAAGGGACAGUCAGCUAGGGAGGAUUCUGCAAUAAUUUUUACCCAAAUGGCAAAAUAUAUGCUUAUAAACUAUCAAGAGUUAUUCUUGGGUUACUGUUCAUGACGGUGGAGUUGGCAUAUAAUUUGCCUAUUAUUCUUUUCUGGACACUUCUGAAAUAAAAAUGUGGAAGUAGAAAAGCCGAGGAAUAAAUAUGAAUAAAGAUGUG